CCUACGGGAGGCUGCAGUGAGGAAUAUUGGUCAAUGGGCGGGAGCCUGAACCAGCCAAGCCGCGUGAGGGAAGAAGGUACAGCGUAUCGUAAACCUCUUUUGUCAGGGAACAAAGGCGGGGACUAGUCCCCGGAUGAGGGUACCUUAAGAAAAAGCAUCGGCUAACUCCGUGCCAGCAGCCGCGGUAAUACGGAGGAUGCGAGCGUUAUCCGGAUUUAUUGGUUUUAAAGGGUGCGUAGGCGGAUUGAUAAGUUAGAGGUGAAAUGUCCGAGCUUAACUCGGGAACUGCCUCUAAUACUGUUGAUCUAGAGAGUAGAUGCGGUAGGCGGAAUGUAUGGUGUAGCGGUGAAAUGCUUAGAUAUUAGGAGGAACACCAGUGGCGAAGGCGUCUUACUGGACCGAAACUGACGUUGAGGCUCGAAAGCGUGGGGAGCAAACAGGAUUAGAUACCCUGGUAGUC
This 460-nucleotide ribosomal RNA is filed under the name uncultured bacterium. Its description in RNAcentral is "partial 16S ribosomal RNA". It matches the Rfam family "Bacterial small subunit ribosomal RNA", at positions 338 to 795 of the family's 1533-position model. The record is from RNAcentral.